RNAcentral lists this ribosomal RNA (491 nucleotides) under uncultured bacterium. Its description in RNAcentral is "partial 16S ribosomal RNA". It matches the Rfam family "Bacterial small subunit ribosomal RNA", at positions 29 to 507 of the family's 1533-position model. The record is from RNAcentral.
AGUGAACGCUGGCGGUAGGCCUAACACAUGCAAGUCGAACGGCAGCACAGUAAGAGCUUGCUCUUACGGGUGGCGAGUGGCGGACGGGUGAGAAUACAUCGGAAUCUACUUUUUCGUGGGGGAUAACGUAGGGAAACUUACGCUAAUACCGCAUACGACCUACGGGUGAAAGCAGGGGAUCUUCGGACCUUGCGCGAUUGAAUGAGCCGAUGUCGGAUUAGCUAGUUGGCGGGGUAAAGGCCCACCAAGGCGACGAUCCGUAGCUGGUCUGAGAGGAUGAUCAGCCACACUGGAACUGAGACACGGUCCAGACUCCUACGGGAGGCAGCAGUGGGGAAUAUUGGACAAUGGGCGCAAGCCUGAUCCAGCCAUACCGCGUGAGUGAAGAAGGCCUUCGGGUUGUAAAGCCCUUUUGUUGGGAAAGAAAAGCAGCAGGUUAAUACCCCGCUGUUCUGACGGUACCCAAAGAAUAAGCACCGGCUAACUUCGUG